Molecule: transfer RNA, 73 nt
Filed under: Cavia porcellus (domestic guinea pig)
Lineage: Eukaryota; Metazoa; Chordata; Mammalia; Rodentia; Caviidae
Rfam family: tRNA
About the family: Transfer RNA (tRNA) molecules are approximately 80 nucleotides in length. Their secondary structure includes four short double-helical elements and three loops (D, anti-codon, and T loops).
Source: Rfam by way of RNAcentral
GGCUCCACGGCUUAGUGGGCUGAAGGGUCUGUCUCAUAAGCAGGAGAUCCUGGGUUGGACUCCCAGGGGGCCU